This 145-nucleotide small RNA is filed under the name Eubacterium ventriosum. RNAcentral's name for it is "Clostridiales-1 RNA". It matches the Rfam family "Clostridiales-1 RNA", at positions 17 to 158 of the family's 166-position model. Lineage: Bacteria; Bacillati; Bacillota; Clostridia; Eubacteriales; Eubacteriaceae. The record is from RNAcentral.
AAGUCAGAACUCACCUGUGCUUGCACAAAGGUGAAAGAACGACCUUAGGACAUGCCCGGAUAAUGAGCAUAAAAGCAAAGCGAAGCUUUGCGAUAUGCGAAUUAUGCGGUAGGAUUGCGAGAGUGCGAAGCACGUAGCAAUCCGG